RNAcentral lists this long non-coding RNA (428 nucleotides) under Mustela putorius furo (domestic ferret). RNAcentral's name for it is "lncRNA (ENSMPUG00000024067.1)". The record is from RNAcentral. Lineage: Eukaryota; Metazoa; Chordata; Mammalia; Carnivora; Mustelidae.
CAAACGGAGAGAGAAAUACCUUCCAUUUGGAAGAAAUGAGCCCUUCAUUUCAGUCCUACCAGCAAGUCAGCAGUACAUGGGGCAUUCUGGCCGCAUCAGGACGCAUUUGACAAUGUCUGGUCCAAUUCUUGUCCAGAAACCACUGAUGGCUGUACCAGUAAGGCUGCUGCAUUCUUCCCAUGUCCCUCCAGCCUGAGUCUCCUCUUCAGUGAUUGUAACCUCGGAUGCCAUCUUGACUGCAACAACCAGCCAGAACCACCCAGCUAGGCCAUUCCCAGAUCCCUGGCCCAGAGAAUCUGUGUGAGAUAAUGGUGAGUGUUGCAAGCCGGUGAGUUUGGGGUUAAUUUGUUACACAGCAAUAGAUAACUACUGUAUUAGGUAACCUUCAACUUCUUGGCUUUUACCUUGAAGCCCCUCCAUAAAUAAAG